RNAcentral lists this ribosomal RNA (468 nucleotides) under uncultured bacterium. Its description in RNAcentral is "partial 16S ribosomal RNA". It matches the Rfam family "Bacterial small subunit ribosomal RNA", at positions 28 to 507 of the family's 1533-position model. The record is from RNAcentral.
GACGAACGCUGGCGGCGUGCUUAACACAUGCAAGUCGAACGGAAAGGCCCUGCUUUUGUGGGGUGCUCGAGUGGCGAACGGGUGAGUAACACGUGAGUAACCUGCCCUUGACUUUGGGAUAACUUCAGGAAACUGGGGCUAAUACCGGCUAGGAGCUCCUGCUGCAUGGUGGGGGUUGGAAAGUUUCGGCGGUUGGGGAUGGACUCGCGGCUUAUCAGCUUGUUGGUGGGGUAGUGGCUUACCAAGGCUUUGACGGGUAGCCGGCCUGAGAGGGUGACCGGCCACAUUGGGACUGAGAUACGGCCCAGACUCCUACGGGAGGCAGCAGUGGGGAAUAUUGCACAAUGGGCGGAAGCCUGAUGCAGCAACGCCGCGUGCGGGAUGACGGCCUUCGGGUUGUAAACCGCUUUCGCCUGUGACGAAGCGUGGGUGACGGUAAUGGGUAAAGAAGCACCGGCUAACUACGUG